This 475-nucleotide ribosomal RNA is filed under the name uncultured marine microorganism. RNAcentral's name for it is "bacterial SSU rRNA". It matches the Rfam family "Bacterial small subunit ribosomal RNA", at positions 342 to 829 of the family's 1533-position model. The record is from RNAcentral.
GGGGAAUUUUCCGCAAUGGGGAAUCUUCCGCAAUGGGCGGAAGCCUGACGGAGCAAUACCGCGUGAGGGAGGAAUGCCUUUGGGUUGUAAACCUCUUUUCUCAGGGAAGAAGAUCUGACGGUACCUGAGGAAUAAGUAUCGGCUAACUCCGUGCCAGCAGCCGCGGUAAUACGGAGGAUGCAAGCGUUAUCCGGAAUCAUUGGGCGUAAAGCGUCCGCAGGUGGUUUCCAAAGUCUGCUGUUAAAGACUGGAGCUCAACUCCGGAACGGCGGUGGAAACUUGGAAACUAGAGUUCGGUAGGGGUAGCAGGAAUUCCCAGUGUAGCGGUGAAAUGCGUAGAUAUUGGGAAGAACAUCGGUGGCGAAGGCGUGCUACUGGACCGUAACUGACACUCAGGGACGAAAGCUAGGGGAGCGAAAGGGAUUAGAUACCCCUGUAGUCCUAGCUGUAAACGAUGGAAACUAGGUGUGGCUUG